This 253-nucleotide ribosomal RNA is filed under the name uncultured bacterium. RNAcentral describes it as "partial 16S ribosomal RNA". It matches the Rfam family "Bacterial small subunit ribosomal RNA", at positions 524 to 776 of the family's 1533-position model. The record is from RNAcentral.
UACGUAUGGUGCAAGCGUUAUCCGGAUUUACUGGGUGUAAAGGGAGCGCAGGCGGCACGGCAAGCCUGAUGUGAAAGCCCGCGGCCCAACCGCGGGACUGCAUUGGGAACUACCGGGCUGGAGUGCCGGAGAGGUAGGCGGAAUUCCUAGUGUAGCGGUGAAAUGCGUAGAUAUUAGGAGGAACACCAGUGGCGAAGGCGGCCUAUUGGACGGUGUCUGACGCUGAGGCUCGAAAGCGUGGGGAGCAAACAGG